Prinia subflava (tawny-flanked prinia) is the source of this 327-nucleotide long non-coding RNA. RefSeq lists it as uncharacterized. The transcript has 2 exons. The record is from RefSeq and is a predicted model, not a curated record. Lineage: Eukaryota; Metazoa; Chordata; Aves; Passeriformes; Cisticolidae.
GUUUGAAUGCACUGUUAUCUGGACACCUGGAAGGUUGGGCUUCUCCUUCUCUGGGAAGAAAACUUGUCUUGUUUUUCAUUUUCCUCUUGGUGAGAGAAAGGAAUAAUCUCCUUGUGCUGGAGACUGUUUCGGCUGAGCUGCCCAGCUAACAGGCAUGGCACACAAUGAAAGGAGUUCCACUCCAGUUGCACUGGAUUCCACUGGGGAGGACCGCAGGUGCUGAGACAGCACUGCACAGAGAACACUGCUUUGGAAGACCAAACCAAUUUUCUUAACCUGUUACAUUCAUUGCUAUUGACAGAGAUGCAAAUAAAGGUCGUAAAAAGG